This is a long non-coding RNA of Cephus cinctus (wheat stem sawfly), 2073 nucleotides long. RefSeq lists it as uncharacterized. The transcript is spliced from 4 exons. The record is from RefSeq and is a predicted model, not a curated record. NCBI's taxonomy places the organism in Eukaryota, Metazoa, Arthropoda, Insecta, Hymenoptera, Cephidae.
UUAAAUUGUUAUAAUAGAAUCUAAAAGAUCUAAUGUAUGUAAAUUAUGUCUUUUGGCAGUUACGAAUGCGACGAUUGGGAAACUCAACACACGAAUCCAAAUACACGAAUUACACCUUAUAAGAAUAAACAGCUUAACGUUAUCGUUCAGUGGUAACUACGUUCUGUGAUAUACAUACAUACAGCAUAUAAUAAGGCUUUUCUCAAAUUAAGCAAUAACAAUUGAGCAAAUACAAACGGCCAACAUCAGAAGAUAAAUACUGAACAAUAAUAAAGAUUAGACAUUAAAUGCUUUUCUUUCAGUAUUCGUCCAUUACGGAACCUAAGAAGAUAUUACAGUAAAAAUAUCAUCGAAAGGAAAAUUGAGGAAAAUAAAGAGGAAAGAAUGAAGGAUAAGUGGUCAAGGAAAAUUACAAGAUUCCAAAGAAAGCACGAUCACUACUAUCUGAAAGCAAAACCUACAAAAAAAUCGCCGAUUAAAACUUUAAGGUCAUCUUCGACAAGGAAAAAGUCGAAAUCGUGGAUAACAAUAUAAAUAUGAUUCUUAUCGCUGAUACCGUUAAGGGAUAAAAAUCCAGGGUCCGCGUCGAAGGGUUGCGCGAUCGGGAGGGAAGGAGGCUCGGCUGCGGUGGCGGUAGGGCGAAUCGGACGGUGAGGCACGAGGACUAAUAUCCUACGCCGAUGAGGCCGCCGAUCGCCUGCUCCCCGCUACCCGCCCGCUGAACACCUGAUCGUCCCGGCGUGCGACCUGGAUGGCAAGGUACUGCGGGAGGGGGGUAUUUUUGUUUUGGUUCGGCUAAAUUCGGCAAACCAGUAAUAAUAGGACUCGGCAAGCUUCGGAUUUGCCGAAUUUAAUCUCUUUCCCUCGGAGAAGGGCCGGGAUAGUCAUCUUCACGGAGCCCAGAUAACAAUCGAAUACACUCCAACCGAUGAGAUGGCUGCGAACAUUUUUACCAAGGGACUAUCCAGGCCAAAACACAUGAAAUGUGUGAAACUCCUCGCUUUGUCUAACUUCCCAAUCUCGAAGAACAACCAUCCUUAAAUCGAGGGGGAGUAUUGAAUUUUAAAAGGCACGCUAUUGCAAUAUUAGUAUGUCGCUGAUAUAAGAUCGCACUGCGUACACGCCAUGCUCCUCUCUCUCGAGGUCGCAGCAACAGCGAAUAUCCACAAUACGUUCCACAGAGGCACCGUAUUUUGAUGGACGAUCAACCGCUGAUUUAAUUAGUUCGCUUCAGAAGAUACAAGUCUCUAAGACAACGAACGGUCGUGACAACCAUCCACUGUCAACGACAACGAAUCAUGCAAUAACAUUAAAGUUAAUCGAAAGACAACUAUACGCAAUUUAGCAACGACAUUUGGCUGCUGUCGCACCAUCAUGACGCAUCUUCACGAUCUUGACUGUCUCAAGAUGAUAGCAUGAUGGAUCCUACAUCGGCUAACUGAUACUCAUCGUCAAGUCAUAGUCGACAUCUACGAAUCACUUCUCUUCUAACCGCAUCGUAAAAAGUUUCUCGAGGAUUUAGUGACUGAUGCUGAAAGCUAGAUCCUUUACAACAAUAAUGUACGGCACGCUAUCUGGCUUCCUCGCGACGCAGAGCCAUCAAUGCAGCUGAAGCUGACCCUUAUACGUACAAGCGUUCUCUUUCUGUUUGAAACAAACCAACGACAUUUAAGGAAAACAUCCGGGACACACAACUGGUUAAAUCUUCCAAGACAAUUUACACUCGCCUUCACAUUGCUUCAGAAACUCGACUGAAAAUCGCGGAGCUCGGAUAGCACCGUACUCUCCGAACAGAGAGCCAUCAGAUUACUAUUUGUUCCAACCACUGAAGCUUUAUCUGCAAAGAAAAGCGUUCAACACAUACGCUCUCAAAAUAGCAAUCGAAAACUUCUUCACAUUGCAAGUUUAUUCCCGAGAGAAUAGGCAAUCACCAAUUCCAAUAUCUUCAGAUAUGGUAAUCUUCUGGUGUCACGUCUAUGAUUAUCACGGUAGAAAGCUUACGAAGAUUCCUAAAUGACUCAACUUCUUUCUAAAUCAAUUUCAUUCUACAUUUAAGAUUAUAUUAUCUUGUCA